GACAGAGGGUGCAAACGUUGUUCGGAAUUAUUGGGCGUAAAGGGAGUGUAGGCGGUUUCCUAAGUCUUCUGUGAAAUCUACGGGCUUAGCCUGUAACGUGCAGAGGAAACUGGGAGACUUGAGUGUCGGAGAGGAUAGGGGAAUACCCAGUGUAGAGGUGAAAUUCGUAGAGAUUGGGUGGAACACCAGUGGCGAAGGCGCCUGUCUGGCUGACAACUGACGCUGAGACUCGAAAGCAUGGGGAGCAAACAGG
This 253-nucleotide ribosomal RNA is filed under the name uncultured bacterium. RNAcentral's name for it is "partial 16S ribosomal RNA". It matches the Rfam family "Bacterial small subunit ribosomal RNA", at positions 524 to 776 of the family's 1533-position model. The record is from RNAcentral.